This 1054-nucleotide ribosomal RNA is filed under the name Paraburkholderia phytofirmans. RNAcentral describes it as "bacterial SSU rRNA". It matches the Rfam family "Bacterial small subunit ribosomal RNA", at positions 8 to 1056 of the family's 1533-position model. The record is from RNAcentral. Lineage: Bacteria; Pseudomonadati; Pseudomonadota; Betaproteobacteria; Burkholderiales; Burkholderiaceae.
AGAGUUUGAUCCUGGCUCAGAUUGAACGCUGGCGGCAUGCCUUACACAUGCAAGUCGAACGGCAGCACGGGGGCAACCCUGGUGGCGAGUGGCAACGGGUGAGUAAUACAUCGGAACGUGUCCUGUAGUGGGGGAUAGCCCGGCGAAAGCCGGAUUAAUACCGCAUACGAUCUGUGGAUGAAAGCGGGGGAUCUUAGGACCUCGCGCUAACAGGGGCGGCCGAUGGCAGAUUAGCUAGUUGGUGGGGUAAAGGCCUACCAAGGCGACGAUCUGUAGCUGGUCUGAGAGGACGACCAGCCACACUGGGACUGAGACACGGCCCAGACUCCUACGGGAGGCAGCAGUGGGGAAUUUUGGACAAUGGGCGCAAGCCUGAUCCAGCAAUGCCGCGUGUGUGAAGAAGGCCUUCGGGUUGUAAAGCACUUUUGUCCGGAAAGAAAACCUCGUGGCUAAUACCUAUGGGGGAUGACGGUACCGGAAGAAUAAGCACCGGCUAACUACGUGCCAGCAGCCGCGGUAAUACGUAGGGUGCAAGCGUUAUCGGAAUUACUGGGCGUAAAGCGUGCGCAGGCGGUUCGCUAAGACAGAUGUGAAAUCCCCGGGCUUAACCUGGGAACUGCAUUUGUGACUGGCGGGCUAGAGUAUGGCAGAGGGGGGUAGAAUUCCACGUGUAGCAGUGAAAUGCGUAGAGAUGUGGAGGAAUACCGAUGGCGAAGGCAGCCCCCUGGGCCAAUACUGACGCUCAUGCACGAAAGCGUGGGGAGCAAACAGGAUUAGAUACCCCUGGUAGUCCACGCCCUAAACGAUGUCAACUAGUUGUCGGGUCUUCAUUGACUUGGUAACGUAGCUAACGCGUGAAGUUGACCGCCUGGGGAGUACGGUCGCAAGAUUAAAACUCAAAGGAAUUGACGGGGACCCGCACAAGCGGUGGAUGAUGUGGAUUAAUUCGAUGCAACGCGAAAAACCUUACCUACCCUUGACAUGUAUGGAAUCCUGCUGAGAGGUGGGAGUGCCCGAAAGGGANCCAUAANACAGGUGCUGCAUGGCUGUCGUC